CUGAUAUGACGUGCUUGCACUGAAUUGACGUUGGAUUACCAGUGAGCGGCGGACGGGUGAGUAACACGUGGGCAACCUGCCCUGAAGCGGGGGAUAACAUCUGGAAACAGGUGCUAAUACCGCAUAACAACGAAAACCACAUGGUUUUCGUUUCAAAGAUGGUUUCGGCUAUCACUUCAGGAUGGGCCCGCGGUGCAUUAGCUAGUUGGUAAGGUAACGGCUUACCAAGGCAAUGAUGCAUAACCGAGUUGAGAGACUGAUCGGCCACAAUGGAACUGAGACACGGUCCAUACUCCUACGGGAGGCAGCAGUAGGGAAUCUUCCACAAUGGGCGCAAGCCUGAUGGAGCAACACCGCGUGAGUGAAGAAGGGUUUCGGCUCGUAAAGCUCUGUUGUUGGAGAAGAACGUGCGUGAGAGUAACUGUUCACGCAGUGACGGUAUCCAACCAGAAAGUCACGGCUAACUACGUGCCAGCAGCCGCGGUAAUACGUAGGUGGCAAGCGUUAUCCGGAUUUAUUGGGCGUAAAGCGAGCGCAGGCGGUUGCUUAUGUCUGAUGUGAAAGCCUUCGGCUUAACCGAAGAAGGGCAUCGGAAACCGGGCGACUUGAGUGCAGAAGAGGACAGUGGAACUCAUGGGGGAAGGGGG
Molecule: ribosomal RNA, 647 nt
Filed under: Limosilactobacillus vaginalis
Lineage: Bacteria; Bacillati; Bacillota; Bacilli; Lactobacillales; Lactobacillaceae
Description: bacterial SSU rRNA
Rfam family: Bacterial small subunit ribosomal RNA
Source: RNAcentral